Molecule: long non-coding RNA, 1087 nt
Filed under: Helianthus annuus (common sunflower)
Lineage: Eukaryota; Viridiplantae; Streptophyta; Magnoliopsida; Asterales; Asteraceae
Rfam family: Group I catalytic intron (bases 124-544)
Source: RNAcentral
CGAGACAGGAAUCGGCAUCUAUCUAAGGAAUUCAAAGGUUCCGGUAUAAAUGAAAGAAAAAGGGGAACGAGAUCGCAAUGAGAUUUUCAUCUCAAAAAGGGGAUAUGGCGAAAUUGGUAGACGCUACGGACUUAAUUGGAUUGAGCCUUGGUAUGGAAACUUACUAAGUGAUAACUUUCAAAUUCAGAGAAACCCUGGAAUUAAUAAAAAUGGGCAAUCCUGAGCCAAAUCACGUUUUCCGAAAACAAACAAAGGUUCAGAAAGCGAAAAUAAAAAGGAUAGGUGCAGAGACUCGAUGGAAGCUGUUCUAACGAAUGGAGUUGAUUGUCUUACAUUGGUAGAGGAAUCCUUCUAUCGAAACUUCAGAAAAGAGGAAGGAUAAACCUGUAUACAUAGAAGAAUUGGUAUGAAUCGAUUCCAUAUUGAAGAAAGAAUCAAAUAUUCAUUGAUCAAAGCAUUCACGCAUAAUCUGAUAGAUCUUUUGAAUAACUGAUGAAAUCGGACGAGAAUAAAGAUAGAGUCCCGUUCUACAUGUCAAUACCGGCAACAAUGAAAUUUAUAGUAAGAGGAAAAUCCGUCGAUUUCAAAAAUCAUGAGGGUUCAAGUCCCUCUAUCCCCAAUUUGCCGCCCUAAUUAUUUCUCGUAUCCUUUUUAUUUAUUUUAUCCUUUUUUCGUUAGCGGUUUAAAAGUACUUAUCUUUCUCAUUCACUACUCUUUAUACAAAUGGAUCUGAGCGGAAAUGUAUCACAUGUCACAUGUGACAUAUAUGAUACAUGUACAAAUGAACAUCUUUGAGCAAGGAAUCCCCAUUUGAAUGAUUCACGAUCGAUAUUUUAAUUCAUAUUGAAACUUAAAAAGUUGUUCUUUUGGUAAAUUCUAGGACCUGGCUGAGGCUUUGUAAUACCCGUUCAAUUGACAUAUACCCACGUUCUCUAGUAAAAUGAAAAUGAGGAUGAGACAUCAGGAAUAGUCGGGAUAGCUCAGUUGGUAGAGCAGAGGACUGAAAAUCCUCGUGUCACCAGUUCAAAUCUGGUUCCUGACACAUGAUUAAUUUGUAUGAGUCUCUAUUCUACCAAUUAAUUGAUAU